AGAAGUGCUUGGAGCUCGCGGGUGGGAGGAUCAGGAUGACUGCUGCUCCCGGAGCCCGACUUCAACUCCCACCGGGCAUAGGAGCCUCUCAGCAGCGCGAGGGGUCGCCCAGCCUGGACCUGGAACGCUUGCAGCACGACCGUCGCGCGCUUCCCUCCGGAACCAGCUCCCACCGUCACAGCCCCCUCCCUCGGCCGCUCCCGGCUCAGCCCAGGCUGGGGCGGGGCCUCGGAAGCAACUGCCCUCGCCCUAGCCAGGGCUGCCGCUUGUUAGGCCAAGUUUUCAAACGGCAAAAUCAACCGCGCUGAAGAGACUGUGCCUCCUUCUCUUCACUCCGCAUCCCAGACGCCUCAGAGAAACUACCUUUCAGACCUUCGCGGCCUCUCCUGCGCCCGCAGCGCCCGGCAGCUGGGGACCCGGGCUUAGCCACAUCGACCGCAACGUUCGCGCGCCACCUUGUGUCCAUUCCCUUAGCCUCCAGGGACAACCCGGAAACCACAUUUCCCAGCGUGCCGAGCGCCUCUGCGCAGGCGCAAAGAGUUUCCCUCGUUGCCAUGGGAACCUCGCCCCUUCUAGAGUCCUGGCCGCUUGACUCAGCUAAGCGCGAAGGUGUUGUUUCUUCCUGAGAUAUGGGAUGCUGGAGGACAUCUGGGGGCCACAAAUGCUCCUUCUCCUGGAGACGCAACUCAAGUUCUCAUGGAGUUUUCAUUGUCUCGUGCAAUGCCAUCGACCUUGAAUUUCAGCAUAGGACCCAUAUGAAGUGCCACUGUUAAUGCUGGGAGCACUCCAGGAAGCAGAGAAAAGUUAUGACAUUUCAAGAAAAAUCUGAAUUGCUUGAUAUGUUCCACAGAUUGAGGUCUGUACCUAUGGUUGCCCACUAUUUCAAUAGUCAGUGUAAGGACUAUUGUAAAAAAAAAAAAAAAAAAAAAUAAAGGAAAUUGGUGAAGCUAUACCAGGAGGUGUGAAAAUCUUGCACUUUUUGCAAAAUAACUUUUUAUCUCAUAUUGAAAAUUCACCUUUUAUGUGCAGGGUUGCUAUAAGAAAGGAGUACAUGUAGACUCUAAUAUGAUGUGAGAAAAAGUGAAGUCAUUAUAUGACAACUUAAAGCAAAAGGAAGGUGAGGAUCUAACGCUAGAGAGCUUAAUGCCAUCAAAAGAUGGUUUGGUAGUUUUAGAAAGAGGUUUGGCUUUAAAAAUGUCAAGAGAGGCUGGGUGCGGUGACUCAUGCAUAUAAUCCUAGCACUUUGGGAGGCCAAGAUGGGAGGACUGCUUGAGCCCAGAAGUUUGAGACUAGUCUGGGAAACAUGGCAAAACCCUAUUUCUACUAAAAAUCCUAAAAAUUAGCCAGGCAUGGUGGCAUGCACCUAUUGUUCCAGCUACUUGGGAGGCUGAGGUAGGAGAAUCACCUGAGUCCGAGAGGUCGAGGCUGCAGUGAGCUGUGUUAGUGCCACCGCACUCCAGCCUGAGUGAUGGGAGUGAGAUUCUGCCUCAAAAGAAAAAAAAAAAAGGUCAAGAUAACAGGAAAAGCACCUUUUACCUUCCAAGAGACAAAAGAUGAGUUCUGAGAUGCCAAUAAGAAAAUAACUGAGGCCCAGCGCGGUGGCCUACACCUAUAAUCCCAGCACUUUGGGAGGCCGAGGUGGGUGGAUUGCUUGAGUUCAGGAGUUUAAGACCAGCCUGAGUAACAUGGUGAAACUCUAUCUCUACUAAAAAAAAAAAAAAAAAAAAUACAAAAAAUUCACCAGCUGUGUUGGCAAAUGCCUGUAGUCCCAGCAACUCAGGAGGCUGAGGUGGGAGGAUCACCUGAGUCCAGGAGGUUGAGGCUAUAGUGAGCUGUGAUUGUGCCACUGUACUCCAGCCUGGGCAAUGGGAGUGAGAACUUGUCUCAAAAAAAAAAAAAAAAAAAAAAAAGAGGAGGAGAAAAGGUACCUGCCUGAACAGGUUUUUAAUGCAGAAGAAAAGAGAAAACCACAAAAGACCUUUCUUAGUAAGGAAGAGAAGUGAGCAGUAGGAUUUAGGAAAGAAAAGAGACUAACUCUAUUGUUUUGUGCAAAUGCAGUCAGGUUUAUGAUGAAGGCUGCCCUUAUCUAUAAAUCUGCUAACCCCCAAGCCGAAGGGAAAAGAAAAACACCAGCUGCCAAUUUUUUGGUUGUACAACAGGAAAGCCUGGACAACGAAAACCCUUUUUCUGAAUUGAUUUCAUUGAUACUUUGUCCCUGAAGUCAGGAUGUACCUUGUCAGUAAGGGGAUUGCCUUUUUUUGUUGUUUUUUGAGAUGGAGUCCUGCUCUGUCAUCCAGGCUGGAAUGCAGUAGCAUGAUCUCAGCUCACUGCAGCCUCCACCUCCUGGGUUAAAGCAAUUCUCCUGCCUUGGCCUUCUAAGUAAGUGGGAUUACAGGCACGCACCACUAUGCCCAGAGAAUUUUUGUAUUUUUAGUAGAGACAGGGUUUCACCAUGUUGGCCAGGCUGGUCUCAGACCCCUGACCUCAAGUGAUCCGCCCGCCUCGGCCUCCCAAAGUGCUGGGAUUACAGGCGAGAGCUACCACACCUGGCCUGGGAUUGCCUUUUAAAAUUCUCUUGUUAUUGGACAAUGCCCUUGGCAUUGAACCCCAUCAGUUCAAUACCGAAGGUGUCAAAGUGGUCUGCUUGUCUCCAAACACAUCGUCUCUAAUUCAGUCUCUAGAUCAAGGGGUUCGUAAGGACCUUAAAGGCUCAUUACACAUAUACAUGGUACUCUAUGGAAAGGACUGUCAACUCUAUGGAAGCGAACCCUGAUAGAACAUCGUGAAAGUCUGGAAGGAUUAUACCACUGAAGAUGCCAUCAUUGUUAUGGAAAAAGCCAUGAAAACCAUCAAGCCUGAAACAAUAAAUUCCUCCUGGAGAAUACUGUGUCCAGAUGUUAUGCAUGAUUUCACAGGAUUGAUGAUAAAGCCAAGCAAGGAAAUCAUGAAAAAGAUUGUGGAUAUGGCAAAAAAGAUGGGGUGAAGGGUUUGAUAUGGAUCUCAGAAAAAUUGAAGAGCUUAAUAGACACCACCCAAGACGAAUUAACAGAAGAUGACUCGAUAGAGAUGAGUGCUUCUGAACCUGUGCCAGAUGAAGAAGAAGAUGUAGAAGCAGCAGUGGCAGAAAAUAAUUAACAUUAGUCUAGAAGAAGGGUUCUGAUUAUUCAGGACCACUUUUGACAUUUUUUAUGACAUGGACCCUUCUGUGAUGCAGGCACUGAAACUCAAUCAAACAGUGGAAGAAGGAUUAAUACCAUAUAGCAGGGGUCCCCAACCCCCAGGCCACCGGAACCAGGCCAUAUAGCAGGAGGUGAGCAACGGGUGAGCAAGCGAACACAAGCUUCAUCUGCAUCUACAUCUGCUCCCCAUCACUUGCAUUCCCACAUAAGCACCACCUCUUGUCAGAUCACAGGAGAGCGAACCCCAUUGUGAACUGUGCGUGUGAGGGAUCUAGGUUGCCAGCUCCUUAUGAGAAUCUAAUGCCUGGUGAUCUGUCACUGUCUUCUGUCACCCCAGAAAGGACCAUCUAGUUGCAAGAAAACAAGCUCAGGGCUCCUACUGAUUCCACAUUAUGGUGAGCUGUCUAAUUAUUUCAUUAUAUAUUACAAUGUAAUAAUAAUAGAAAUAAAGCACACAAUAAAUACAAAGUGCUUGAAUCAUCCCGAAACUACCCCCUUAACCCCAUCUAUGGGAAAAAAGUCUUCCAUAAAACUAGUCCCUGGUGCCAAAAAGGUUGGGACUGCUGCUAUAUAGAAACAUUUUUAGAGAAAUGAAAAAGCAAAAAUGUCAGACAGAAGUUACAAUGUAUUUCCAUAAAGUUACACCAGAAUGUGCCUGCCUCUCCUGCCUCCCCUUCCACCACUUUUGCCUCUGCUGCCCCUGAGACAGCAAGACCAACCAUUCCUCUUCCUCAGCCUACUCAACGUGAAAGCGACGAGGAUGAAGACCUUUAUCACGAUCCACUUCCACUUAAUAGUAAAUAUACUUUUAUGAUUCCCCUGCCCUCCCCUCCCCUCCCCUUCUCUUUUUUUGAGACAAGGUUUCAUUCUCACCCAGGCCAGAGUGUAGUGGUGUGAUCUCAGCUCACUGCACUUCAGCCUCCUGGGCUCCCAGGCUCAAAGGAUCUUCCCUCAAAACUCCAUCUCCAG
Molecule: long non-coding RNA, 4148 nt
Filed under: Homo sapiens (human)
Lineage: Eukaryota; Metazoa; Chordata; Mammalia; Primates; Hominidae
Description: HSALNT0363439
Source: RNAcentral